UGGAUUGGACUCUCUGUUCUGGCUCUUUGCUCACCCAUCCAUUUUUUUUUUUUUUGUUUUUUUUCUUGGUUUUGGCUUCGG
RNAcentral lists this non-coding RNA (81 nucleotides) under Ctenophora environmental sample. Lineage: Eukaryota; Metazoa; Ctenophora. The record is from RNAcentral.